Long non-coding RNA from Cavia porcellus (domestic guinea pig), 794 nucleotides. RefSeq lists it as uncharacterized. The transcript is spliced from 7 exons. The record is from RefSeq and is a predicted model, not a curated record. NCBI's taxonomy places the organism in Eukaryota, Metazoa, Chordata, Mammalia, Rodentia, Caviidae.
GUCCAUCUAGUUCCAGGACAGUAUGGAAAACGGCUUGGGGGGGGGGGGGGGUCUCUGCGCAAAGCAGACUUCAGCUUUCCUCACUGCCACGGGUGGGAAAGUAAAUGUUCUCAUCCCUGAACUGUCAGUCCUAGAAAAGAGGUAGAGUUGCAUGUGAUGGAACAUGGUCUUAAAGAAUGAAAAGCAUUUCAGAAAUGAUCACUGAGGUUUGAUGUCCCUUUUUCAACUUCAAAAAUGCAAUUCAUACAUUUGAAAUCGUGCUGUGCUCUGUGUGAUGAAAUCUCACUCUAACCUGCUUGGUGCUGCCUGCUGCCGCCGGUCCUCCUCCUCUUCUUCCCCCCUCUACAGUUCUAUCAGAUGGUGCUGUGACUGGGAACAGCAGUCUAACAUAAGUGCAUUCACCAGGGAAGUUGUCCUGGCUAAAACUCCUGGCACCAGCUUCUACCUAGACAUCAACUGUCAUCCCAUCGACUCCCCUAGACCCCAGUACAGCGCCCUCAGCCAGCAGGAAGUUGCUGCCACCGGUCCUCCUCCUCUUUUUCCCCUCUACAGUUCUAUCAAUAAGGACCAGUGAUGUCUCAGGCUCUACAGCAGGGCAUUUGUCCUCAUGGAAAUAACUGGUGGAUGGAAAUCAGAACUGGCUGAAAAGUCUGGGAGGGACUUAAUAUCUUGAUGAGAUUUUGAGAUAUCAACCCUGUGUUUCAAUAACGUCUUUGGGGAUCAUCUGGGAUCUCAAUGGAGGAGGUAACCUCAAGUCUGGCCACUCAGGUCCUGUUAAAUUUCCUGGCAAAGAA